Molecule: ribosomal RNA, 1355 nt
Filed under: Lactiplantibacillus pentosus
Lineage: Bacteria; Bacillati; Bacillota; Bacilli; Lactobacillales; Lactobacillaceae
Description: bacterial SSU rRNA
Rfam family: Bacterial small subunit ribosomal RNA
Source: RNAcentral
CUUGCAUCAUGAUUUACAUUUGAGUGAGUGGCGAACUGGUGAGUAACACGUGGGAAACCUGCCCAGAAGCGGGGGAUAACACCUGGAAACAGAUGCUAAUACCGCAUAACAACUUGGACCGCAUGGUCCGAGUUUGAAAGAUGGCUUCGGCUAUCACUUUUGGAUGGUCCCGCGGCGUAUUAGCUAGAUGGUGAGGUAACGGCUCACCAUGGCAAUGAUACGUAGCCGACCUGAGAGGGUAAUCGGCCACAUUGGGACUGAGACACGGCCCAAACUCCUACGGGAGGCAGCAGUAGGGAAUCUUCCACAAUGGACGAAAGUCUGAUGGAGCAACGCCGCGUGAGUGAAGAAGGGUUUCGGCUCGUAAAACUCUGUUGUUAAAGAAGAACAUAUCUGAGAGUAACUGUUCAGGUAUUGACGGUAUUUAACCAGAAAGCCACGGCUAACUACGUGCCAGCAGCCGCGGUAAUACGUAGGUGGCAAGCGUUGUCCGGAUUUAUUGGGCGUAAAGCGAGCGCAGGCGGUUUUUUAAGUCUGAUGUGAAAGCCUUCGGCUCAACCGAAGAAGUGCAUCGGAAACUGGGAAACUUGAGUGCAGAAGAGGACAGUGGAACUCCAUGUGUAGCGGUGAAAUGCGUAGAUAUAUGGAAGAACACCAGUGGCGAAGGCGGCUGUCUGGUCUGUAACUGACGCUGAGGCUCGAAAGUAUGGGUAGCAAACAGGAUUAGAUACCCUGGUAGUCCAUACCGUAAACGAUGAAUGCUAAGUGUUGGAGGGUUUCCGCCCUUCAGUGCUGCAGCUAACGCAUUAAGCAUUCCGCCUGGGGAGUACGGCCGCAAGGCUGAAACUCAAAGGAAUUGACGGGGGCCCGCACAAGCGGUGGAGCAUGUGGUUUAAUUCGAAGCUACGCGAAGAACCUUACCAGGUCUUGACAUACUAUGCAAAUCUAAGAGAUUAGACGUUCCCUUCGGGGACAUGGAUACAGGUGGUGCAUGGUUGUCGUCAGCUCGUGUCGUGAGAUGUUGGGUUAAGUCCCGCAACGAGCGCAACCCUUAUUAUCAGUUGCCAGCAUUAAGUUGGGCACUCUGGUGAGACUGCCGGUGACAAACCGGAGGAAGGUGGGGAUGACGUCAAAUCAUCAUGCCCCUUAUGACCUGGGCUACACACGUGCUACAAUGGAUGGUACAACGAGUUGCGAACUCGCGAGAGUAAGCUAAUCUCUUAAAGCCAUUCUCAGUUCGGAUUGUAGGCUGCAACUCGCCUACAUGAAGUCGGAAUCGCUAGUAAUCGCGGAUCAGCAUGCCGCGGUGAAUACGUUCCCGGGCCUUGUACACACCGCCCGUCACACCAUGAGAG